Molecule: unclassified non-coding RNA, 784 nt
Filed under: Hevea brasiliensis (rubber tree)
Lineage: Eukaryota; Viridiplantae; Streptophyta; Magnoliopsida; Malpighiales; Euphorbiaceae
Source: RNAcentral
GGGGGGGGGAAGAGAUUCUUUGUUCCCCGUUCAAAAUUUUAAGGGAAUGAUUUAUUAUAUAUAGAGAGAGAGAGAGAGAGAUUUAGCUUAUCAAAAAAAUAUAUAGAGAGAGAGAGAUUUAUAUAGUCAUUAAUGAUGAUGGGUUUGUUCAGUUGUGAUUAUUAUUGCAUGGCCAUGCAGACGUGAAUUGUUGCAGUUGUCUGAACAUCAAAAUUUGGCGUAUGUUCGACAGUUUUUGUCGGAGAAUACUGUGUUCGGACCGGAGCUGGUCGUUCUCCCUCCUUACGCUGUGACAAUGGUACACAACAAAGCGCAACCGGUUCGAGAGUUCUCGAUUUUGAAUCCUCAGUUGGUUCACCUGAUUUCUUAGAUUUUCUAAGUGUCUUUGUUUUCGCAUGCGUGACCGCCUGGCUGACUCCCGAUUCGAUAUCAUCCGCCUCCGUUUCCGCUCAUCGAUCACCGAAACGGUGGUUGGUUUCUGUUCAUCAGAACUACAGUUAGAGUUGGCAGGGUUUUGGUUAGACCGGUUCGGUUCGUUUGGAUCAUCAGAACCAGAGCUCGAAACUAUGGGUUUUGUUAAUUGGGGAUCGGUGGCGGCAAAGAGGUCAGAACAGUCCCACGGCGGUGUAUAGCCGUUUUCAAAGGACGGAAACGGGUUUCCAAGUAUGGAAUCAGCGGAGGAGAAGAAGCCUGCCGGAAUAGCAGUAGCAGAUAACAUGUUUGACAGAAUUGCUUAAUAGACAAGGGAGGAAGGAAGGAGGAGGAGAAACAAAAGCAAGCAGAG